Long non-coding RNA from Seriola aureovittata, 1467 nucleotides. RefSeq lists it as uncharacterized. The record is from RefSeq and is a predicted model, not a curated record. The transcript is spliced from 3 exons. Lineage: Eukaryota; Metazoa; Chordata; Actinopteri; Carangiformes; Carangidae.
GGCAGCCAGUGGGAGAAUGACAGAGGAGACGUAACCAAGGGGGAAGACUAAGGCACUCAACCCCAAAUACACCCCUCCCUCCAGGAGUUACCAUGGUGACAGAAAAAGCCAGUGUGAUCACUGAGCUUAAGGAUGUGCCAAAGCCGGCUAUCACAUCAGACAGGUGGAUCAGCCUUAGUCAAGACCACUAUCUCACCGUUACAGUGGUCUGCCCCGAAGGGACUUUGUUUAGUUGCUUUCCUGCAUUGUUUUGAAAUAGUUUUCCUUGUGUGUCCAUUGUGAUUGUCUGCCUCGCCCUAAUGUGUUACAACUGUGUCUUGUUAUGUGCUCUCUUUGUGUGAGUUUGUCCUGUUGUCUUCGUCAAUUUCUCUGUUUUUUGCUCCUGCUUUGCUCCCGUCAAGUUUUGUAGUGUUCCUGUGUUUUUGCUUGGUUUUUUUGUAUUUUGAGAUUUUUUGCUUCCCCUUACUGGACCUACCUCAUCCCUUCAUGUAAGACUGUGUUUUUUAUUUCCUUUGUUCAUUCAACCGAACCAACCCUGUCCGAGAGUCUGCAUGAGGGUCCUGAGUACCUUAAAUCUGACAAUGGGCAGCCUGAAUUAGAGCAGUGGUCGUGUGGUUCAACAGGUCGUCGAAGACCGAAAAAAGUCUUGAAGGAAAAAGCAUGAACUCCUUGGCCCUCUGCAACAGUCACUCCUUCAGGAUUAAGACGAGAUGGAACUGAACCUAUUAUAGAGAGAUUAGCGGAGCAGUAUCCAGCUAUCUAGGGAGCAGCCUUAGAUACACCACUGGGAAAUGCAAUGACCAAGGUCAACCUGAACACUCGAACGAUGACCACUCAAAUAAGGCUGAAGAGUUUGUCUUGUUCAUGACAAUCCUCUGUGUAUCCACACUGUGUGUUUGUCAUCUGAAAAGAAUGCCACCCGUGGACAGAUCAUACCCAUCCUCAAAAAGUUAGAAGAGCACUUCACUGUGAAGCCUGAAGAUACAACGUAGGUCACAACCAUCAAAGUGAAGGUGUGGAGGGACCUCUCCGACCGCUAUCAGGAUAAGGGCAUUCAAGCGUUCCUGAAUGGAAGGUGACAGCAAUGGACCCCAGAUUUAAAGUGAGACCAGUGAGUGACGCCACCUGUGACAGGCUGAGGAAGACAACUGUGGAGACCAGUGUUACAGGAGCAACACCACGGCUGUCGGAGGAGCCGGACCAGACAAACGCAGAGCAGAAUCAACAGGAGGAGGUGGAGUCUGAAGGAGUAGGAGAGGGUAUUUUCAACUGCAGGGAACCCAAAAGCCAGGAGAGGUCUUUCUCCAGAGGAAUGGCUAUUAAAUACUAGGCCUUUUGCAGCCUACAUGUGUGCCCCACCUAUGUUGCUCUAUACCACUGUAUUUUCUUUUGCAGUAAAUAAUUGUUCAUGAUUUGUUUUACAUUUUCAUAAUCAUUUAGAGAUGUGCUUUAAAAUGAAAAUGUAGC